GUCCCGUUGGUCUAGUGGGAGGACGCCUGGUUCUCAACCAGGAGAUCACCGGUUCGAGUCCGGUACGGGAUG
RNAcentral lists this transfer RNA (72 nucleotides) under Kribbella solani. It matches the Rfam family "tRNA". Rfam says of the family: Transfer RNA (tRNA) molecules are approximately 80 nucleotides in length. Their secondary structure includes four short double-helical elements and three loops (D, anti-codon, and T loops). The record is from Rfam by way of RNAcentral. Lineage: Bacteria; Bacillati; Actinomycetota; Actinomycetes; Propionibacteriales; Kribbellaceae.